This 73-nucleotide transfer RNA is filed under the name Chloroflexia bacterium. RNAcentral describes it as "tRNA-Arg". It matches the Rfam family "tRNA". From Rfam's summary of the family: Transfer RNA (tRNA) molecules are approximately 80 nucleotides in length. Lineage: Bacteria; Bacillati; Chloroflexota; Chloroflexia. The record is from RNAcentral.
GCCCCAGUAGCUCAGCGGAUAGAGCAGCCGCCUUCUAAGCGGCAGGUCGCAGGUUCGAAACCUGCCUGGGGUA